RNAcentral lists this ribosomal RNA (253 nucleotides) under uncultured bacterium. Its description in RNAcentral is "partial 16S ribosomal RNA". It matches the Rfam family "Bacterial small subunit ribosomal RNA", at positions 524 to 776 of the family's 1533-position model. The record is from RNAcentral.
UACGGGGGGGGCAAGCGUUGUUCGGAAUUACUGGGCGUAAAGGGCUCGUAGGCGGCCAACUAAGUCGGACGUGAAAUCCCCAGGCUCAACUUGGGAACUGCGUCUGAUACUGGAUGGCUUGAAUUCGGGAGAGGGAUGCAGAAUUCCAGGUGUAGCGGUGAAAUGCGUAGAUAUCUGGAGGAAUACCGGUGGCGAAGGCGGCAUCCUGGACCGAGAUUGACACUGAUGAGCGAAAGCCAGGGGAGCAAACGGG